GUGGGGAAUCUUGCGCAAUGGGCGAAAGCCUGACGCAGCAACGCCGCGUGGGGGAUGAAGGCUCUCGGGUUGUAAACCCCUUUCAGCAGGGACGAAUCAAGACGGUACCUGCAGAAGAAGCCCCGGCUAACUACGUGCCAGCAGCCGCGGUAACACGUAGGGGGCAAGCGUUGUCCGGAUUUAUUGGGCGUAAAGAGCUCGUAGGUGGCUGAGUAAGUCGGAUGUCAAAUCCCCAGGCUCAACCUGGGAUCCCAUCCGAUACUGCUCUGGCUAGAGUCCGGUAGGGGAGCGUGGAAUUCCUGGUGUAGCGGUGAAAUGCGCAGAUAUCAGGAGGAACACCAGCGGCGAAGGCGGCGCUCAGGGCCGGUACUGACACUGAGGAGCGAAAGCGUGGGUAGCAAACAGGAUUAGAUACCCGGGUAGUCC
Molecule: ribosomal RNA, 426 nt
Filed under: uncultured bacterium
Lineage: Bacteria
Description: partial 16S ribosomal RNA
Rfam family: Bacterial small subunit ribosomal RNA
Source: RNAcentral